GUGGGGAAUUUUGGACAAUGGGCGAAAGCCUGAUCCAGCCAUGCCGCGUGCAGGAUGAAGGCCUUCGGGUUGUAAACUGCUUUUGUACGGAACGAAAAGACUCUGGUUAAUACCUGGGGUCCAUGACGGUACCGUAAGAAUAAGCACCGGCUAACUACGUGCCAGCAGCCGCGGUAAUACGUAGGGUGCAAGCGUUAAUCGGAAUUACUGGGCGUAAAGCGUGCGCAGGCGGUUAUAUAAGACAGAUGUGAAAUCCCCGGGCUCAACCUGGGAACUGCAUUUGUGACUGUAUAGCUAGAGUACGGCAGAGGGGGAUGGAAUUCCGCGUGUAGCAGUGAAAUGCGUAGAUAUGCGGAGGAACACCGAUGGCGAAGGCAAUCCCCUGGGCCUGUACUGACGCUCAUGCACGAAAGCGUGGGGAGCAAACAGGAUUAGAUACCCUAGUAGUCC
RNAcentral lists this ribosomal RNA (450 nucleotides) under uncultured bacterium. RNAcentral's name for it is "bacterial SSU rRNA". It matches the Rfam family "Bacterial small subunit ribosomal RNA", at positions 354 to 796 of the family's 1533-position model. The record is from RNAcentral.